RNAcentral lists this long non-coding RNA (241 nucleotides) under Elaeis guineensis (African oil palm). RNAcentral's name for it is "long non-coding RNA (EGUI_LNC031223)". Lineage: Eukaryota; Viridiplantae; Streptophyta; Magnoliopsida; Arecales; Arecaceae. The record is from RNAcentral.
GGAGGAAUAUACCUGAAACUUCUUGUCAAUAAGACAAGUAGCCCAAUGAGUUCCAUCCUUUAAAAAAUAAUGUGAAAGAUUAUCAGGGCUUUCUGUAAGCUUUCUUUCUCUAAAGGUUGUACCUAUUAAUGUAUUCUCUGCUACUCAUCAACUCACUUUUUUUUGCCUAUUUUCAUUAGCUGAGUCUUCCAUGAUCACUGGCAGAGAUACUAAGAAUGUGUUGUUUUGAUUCUCCACUAUG